Molecule: long non-coding RNA, 1743 nt
Organism: Lolium rigidum
Lineage: Eukaryota; Viridiplantae; Streptophyta; Magnoliopsida; Poales; Poaceae
Exons: 5
Source: RefSeq, a predicted model, not a curated record
UUUCUGCAGUGUAAAUUAUUUUUGAUUAUGGUUGCCUUUUUCUCAGAAAAUUGAUGAGCAACCAGAGUCGCUUUGGUGGUCUGAAUGUCUGAUAAUGGAUAUGAACUUCAGUUGAAGCCUGGUUGACUAUGCUCGACCUAGCAGGGAGGAGGAACCCAUGGCGUGAUUGAAGAAGAUGAGGAUCCGAAAUUGCAGAGAUGAUGUCUCAAGGAAUGAGCACUUUUUUUGGUUAUCAGGCUGAUUGAUCUUUGGUUAUUGCUAAUUUUUGGUGUAGCAAAUCAUGCUUCUCCGUACAAGUGGGUAGAGGCAUGAAGGCAAAACAACAAAAGGAAAUGGUAUGUUCUCAGGAUAUGGUGUAGCAAAUCAUGCUUCUACUGAUGCAAGAAAUAACUAUUUGAUUACUAAACUAGGCCCCUGGUGUGAUAUUUGGUCAUGUUCUAGACCAGAGUAUCUUUAUAUUAAUUCAAAGACGUACAAUUGACGUAGAAAUGACAUGUUAGUCCAAUCUCGAAGGCUGCGGUUGCAGAGAACGAGUUAUGUUGAUAUACGAAAUCUGGGGCAUUGGCUUAUCGUGGCACCUUUAACCACAUAUUCUUCUUAUCUUUUCAGUUCUUUUAGGGUAGAAUGUUGAAGUUCAGUAUUCACUUGUGCUCAUUUUCCAUGCCGAUACAACAUGGCUUGCGAGCUUAGGGACGAUUUGGAGAAACCGAGUACCUCAUGCUAAAAUUUAGUCUCUUAUAUUUCUUUCAACCGGAACAUGAUCUCAAGGCACCAGGUAGUCCGCAAGCGAAACAAUUCAUGUGGUGUCUUUCUCAUAACAGCCUCCCACAUCGCUGCAUUAUUCUGAGGAGAGGCAUUGAGAUUGAUACUUUAUGCCCCAUGUGCUCUAGAUUUAAUGAAGAUGGUGGCCAUCUAUUUCAGAAGUGCAAGCCUCUGUGUGCAUUGUGGAGGAUCUGAAGCUUGAACCCAUCAGAGCUAAGUUGGCCUCUUGUCUUGAUGCCAAAGAUGUCAUUGCACAGAUACUAGGUGCCAAUGAACAGGAGAAGAUGAGAUGUGUUGACCUGCUUUCGGUCUGGUGGCGUGUGAGGAACAAAUGCAAUGUUGCUGAGUCUACGUCCUUGUCAGAUUCAGUUUGUCAUGUCUCUAACUGCUGAGUUUGAACAACAGUGAAGAAAGAUAAAGAAGAAAGAGCAACCUGCUAUGAGAUCAAGUGGAAGCCACCGGUGCACGAUGUUCUGAAGAUAAAUAUUGAUGGGAGCAUGGACCCAGCCAAUGCGUCUGGUGGCUGGGGUUUGGUGUUCAGAGAUGAGCUCGGAGUUGUAGCCGGUUUAGGUGCUAGCCAUAUGGAGCAUCUGCAGGAUGUUCUCCACAGUGAGGCAGAGGCCUACCUGCAAUCACUGUUUCAGGCUCAAAUAUGGUGUAUUUCUUGGGUUCACGUUGAACUGACUCACAACUUCUGGUGCAACCGAUCAAGGGAAGCGAGCAACGGUGCUAUUUUUAGGGAUAUUAAAUUUCAGAUUUCGUUGAACUUCUCUGUUUUCAGUAUUUUGUAAUGCACGCCCUCGGGCCUGUAAUAAAGUGGCGUACGCUAUGGUGACGCAUGGUGGUGAGAUUAGGGCUCAGCCCCCCAUCCUUUUGGCCGGGUUGUGUCCCUAGCUUCAUGUCUGAUUAGGUACCCUGAGGGACUGGCGGUGACCGCUCGGAAAGCGACAGACUGAUAUAAGACAAAUGAUAUGUUAUGUU